Molecule: ribosomal RNA, 499 nt
Filed under: uncultured bacterium
Lineage: Bacteria
Description: partial 16S ribosomal RNA
Rfam family: Bacterial small subunit ribosomal RNA
Source: RNAcentral
GACGAACGCUGGCGGCGUGCUUAACACAUGCAAGUCGAACGGGCCCGCUCUCUUUUUUGGGGGUGGGUUGAGUGGCGAACGGGUGAGUAUUACGUGAGUAACCUGCCCCCUGCUCCUGGAUAACUGCUUGAAAGGGCGGCUAAUACGGGGUGUGCCGGCUGGUCCGCAUGGGCCUGGUCGGGAUAGUUUCAUCUUCGGGUGUUUCGGUGGGGGAUGGGCUCGCGGCCUAUCAGCUUGUUGGUGGGGUGAUGGCCCACCAAGGCGGUGACGGGUAGCCGGCCUGAGAGGGUGGGCGGCCACACUGGGACUGAGACACGGCCCAGACUCCUGCGGGAGGCAGCAGUGGGGGGUAUUGCACAAUGGGCGGAAGCCGGAUGCAGCGACGUCGCGUGAGGGAUGGAGGCCUUCGGGUUGUGAACCUCUUUCUCCGGUGGUGAAGGCCCUGUCCGUUGCGGCGGGGUUGACGGUAGCCGGGUAUGAAGCGCCGGCUAACUACGUG